Molecule: long non-coding RNA, 373 nt
Organism: Aquila chrysaetos chrysaetos
Lineage: Eukaryota; Metazoa; Chordata; Aves; Accipitriformes; Accipitridae
Exons: 3
Source: RefSeq, a predicted model, not a curated record
GGCGGUGAGUACGUGAGGAGCCGCACAGCAGCGCGAGGAGGCGGCGGGGGGGGGGGGGCUGCGGCCGCCCUGCGCCAAUGGGGCGGGAAGGGACCGCCCCCCCCCCCCCCAGGCCUGUGGCGGCCUCAUGGCGGCCGGGCAGUUUCCCCCCCAGAAGACAGAGCAGUACCACGCUACUACGGCAACCUAAUUUUGGACAGAGGGUGGGGGACAUGCUCCUGCCAGGGGACCUGACUCGGCUGCAGUUUUCCCCUUCACCUGCCAAGGCCACAGGGAUGCCGCAAGUGUGAAUCUCCGCAUCGUACCAAAAACCUCUCUCUUUUGGUUCAUCGGGGUUAUAGUUGACCAUUACCACCUGUCCUACUUCUAGCUG